CAAGACAGUAUCAAAAGCCUUACUAAAGUCAAGAUUUACUACAUCUACCUCUUCCCCCCAUCCACAAGGCUUGUUUCUCUGUCAAAGAAAGCUAUUAGAUGGGUUUGACAUGAUUUGUUCUUGACAAAUCCAUGGUGACUGUCACUUAUCACCUUGUUAUCUUCUAGAUGUUUGCAAAUUAAU
Molecule: long non-coding RNA, 183 nt
Organism: Chelonia mydas (Green sea turtle)
Lineage: Eukaryota; Metazoa; Chordata; Testudines; Cheloniidae
Exons: 3
Source: RefSeq, a predicted model, not a curated record